UAGGGAAUCUUCCGCAAUGGACGAAAGUCUGACGGAGCAACGCCGCGUGAGUGAAGAAGGAUUUCGGUUCGUAAAACUCUGUUGUUAGGGAAGAAAAAAUGUAUAGUAACUAUAUACAAAAGAGACGGUACCUAACCAGAAAGCCACGGCUAACUACGUGCCAGCAGCCGCGGUAAUACGUAGGUGGCAAGCGUUGUCCGGAAUUAUUGGGCGUAAAGCGCGCGCAGGUGGUUUAGAAAGUCUGAUGUGAAAGCGCACGGCUCAACCGUGGAGGGUCAUUGGAAACUAAUAAACUUGAGUGCAGGAGAGAAAAGUGGAAUUCCUAGUGUAGCGGUGAAAUGCGUAGAGAUUAGGAGGAACACCGGUGGCGAAAGCGGCUUUUUGGCCUGCAACUGACACUGAGGCGCGAAAGCGUGGGGAGCAAACAGG
Molecule: ribosomal RNA, 429 nt
Filed under: Verrucomicrobiota bacterium
Lineage: Bacteria; Pseudomonadati; Verrucomicrobiota
Description: Verrucomicrobia bacterium partial 16S ribosomal RNA
Rfam family: Bacterial small subunit ribosomal RNA
Source: RNAcentral